Molecule: ribosomal RNA, 117 nt
Filed under: Fusarium sp. KC-2010ba
Lineage: Eukaryota; Fungi; Ascomycota; Sordariomycetes; Hypocreales; Nectriaceae
Description: partial 28S ribosomal RNA
Source: RNAcentral
UGUUGACCUCGAAUCAGGUAGGAAUACCCGCUGAACUUAAGCAUAUCAAAUUGGGGAGGAAACUUUACCGGAGUUAUACAACUCAUCAACCUGUGAAACAUACUAAAAAGUUGCCUC